CUACUUGCUAUGCUAUGUAGCUGGGAGCAAAAUGCUGGUGCCAAGCCAGCACAUGGCACUCAUACUGAGUGUAGCUGGCAGGGUGUGGAGGAUCAGUUGAAGCAAGUAUUCUCCUGUUCUUGUGCUCAUGCGAACAGUAUCUAUCACCUAAUGAUGUACUGGAAGGCUUGAUUCCUAGUGACAAUCUUCUCAAAAUUUCUGCUUAGAGCUUAGUAACUUGUUAAUUACUGCCUUAUGCACUCAGCACUCUGUCUGGACCCCACCUUCAAUAACCAGGGGUGAUCUUCCCAUCCCAUCUGUACUCCAUCCCUAUUCCCUACCUUUACACCCAUGUCCAAUAAAUCAAUGAAAUAGGCAGAAGAGAGUAUGUAUCGAUGAGUUAUUAGAGUGCAAGGUUAUUACAUUAUAACAACGUGACACACACAAAUGGGUGAAGGGAGAGAGGGAGACACAAAAAAUAUGGGGAAAUGGCAAUAGACACACAAAAAUAUAGGAGUAGGUUGAAAGGCAAAAGCAGUUGGGUCAUAGGGAUAACAAAAUUUACACUCCCACAUGCAAUAUACUACAAAGUCACUGCAGUCACACAGUACACAUAAAUGCGUUUUCACUAUAUAUGCACACUCAUACAAAUACAU
Molecule: non-coding RNA, 635 nt
Organism: Pelobates cultripes (western spadefoot toad)
Lineage: Eukaryota; Metazoa; Chordata; Amphibia; Anura; Pelobatidae
Source: the annotation of a GenBank genome assembly